GGUUCGGGCUCUUCUUGCGCAGCUUAGGUGGAAGGCGUUGAAAGAGAGCUUCCGGGUUCUCUGGAGCCACCAGUGAGAUACCACUCUGGAAGAGCUAGAAUUCUAAUCUCGACCCCUUAGCGGGGCGUGUGACAGUUUCAGGUGGGCAGUUUGACUGGGGCGGUCGCCUCCUAAAAGGUAACGGAGGCGUGCAAAGGUUCCCUCCGGCUGGACGGAAAUCAGCUGUAGAGUGUAAAGGCAGAAGGGAGCUUGACUGCGAGACCUACAAGUCGAGCAGGGACGAAAGUCGGCCUUAGUGAUCCGACGGUGCCGUGUGGAAGGGCCGUCGCUCAACGGAUAAAAGUUACUCUAGGGAUAACA
RNAcentral lists this ribosomal RNA (360 nucleotides) under uncultured eukaryote. RNAcentral's name for it is "LSU rRNA". It matches the Rfam family "Bacterial large subunit ribosomal RNA", at positions 2120 to 2479 of the family's 2925-position model. The record is from RNAcentral.